UACGUAAAAACCAAGCGUUGUCCGGAUUUAUUGGGCGUAAAGAGCUCGUAGGCGGUUUAGAUAGUCGGAUGUGAAAACUCCGAGCUCAACUCGGAGACGCCACCCGAUACUGCCAUGACUAGAAUCCGGUAAAGGAGCAGGGAAUUCCUGGUGUAACAAUGAAAUGCGCAGAUAUCAGAAGGAACACCAAUAACGAAGGCGCUGCUCUAGGCCGGUACUGACGCUGAGGAGCGAAAGCGUGAGUAACAAACAGG
This 254-nucleotide ribosomal RNA is filed under the name uncultured bacterium. Its description in RNAcentral is "partial 16S ribosomal RNA". It matches the Rfam family "Bacterial small subunit ribosomal RNA", at positions 524 to 776 of the family's 1533-position model. The record is from RNAcentral.